CGCGAAGAACCUUACCUAGCCUUGACAUGUAUCUGCAAGCCUAUGAAAGUAGGCCGCCUACGAGGGUGAUACACCGGUGCUGCAUGGCUGUCGUCAGCUCGUGUCGUGAGAUGUUGGGUUAAGUCCCGCAACGAGCGCAACCCUUAUUUCUAGUUGCCAGCACGUAAAGGUGGGGACUCUAGAAAGACUGCCCGCGCAAGCGGAGAGGAAGGAGGGGAUGGCGUCAAGUCAUCAUGGCCCUUACGUCCAGGGCUACACACGUGCUACAAUGGCACCUACAGAGUGUUGCGAGCUGGUAACAGUAAGCCAAUCACAAAAAGGGUGUCUCAGUUCGGAUUGAGGUCUGCAACUCGACCUCAUGAAGCUGGAAUCGCUAGUAAUCGCGCAUCAGCAAUGGCGCGGUGAAUACGUUCCCGGGCCUGUACAC
This 427-nucleotide ribosomal RNA is filed under the name uncultured bacterium. RNAcentral describes it as "bacterial SSU rRNA". It matches the Rfam family "Bacterial small subunit ribosomal RNA", at positions 960 to 1388 of the family's 1533-position model. The record is from RNAcentral.